Long non-coding RNA from Pongo pygmaeus (Bornean orangutan), 2774 nucleotides. RefSeq lists it as uncharacterized. NCBI's taxonomy places the organism in Eukaryota, Metazoa, Chordata, Mammalia, Primates, Hominidae. The transcript has 2 exons. The record is from RefSeq and is a predicted model, not a curated record.
GCCUUGUGAUGUCACUGCCCUAGUGAUGAGGUGCCCAGCACCCCUGCCUGCCUCGGUGAUGGCUCGUGGCCCCGUUGAGGCAGUGAAGCUGGAGACCCGUGGCGUGCACAGGCAGCCACUCCCACACUAUGACCGGGGCCCGAGAAUGCCAAGGACAUUAGGCAGGUACCAUUCCUUGUCCUACCAUCUAUGUUGAUAUUAAAAAUAUCAAGAGUCUGAAACUUUACAUCAUAGUGAACAAAGAAAACCUAAUAUGAUGCCAGGGAAAAGAUUUCAGGAUGUUCAAAAUCUGUUCCUGAUAAAAAUAAUCUGAAUUCAAAAAUCUUUCAUGACUUAUUCAGGAUAGCAAACUUGAUUUUUAAUCACACUGAGGCAAAUAUCCCCCUCAGACAGAGGCUGCACAGGUGCAGCUGCCAUCUCCUCUCAGUGGUAUCCUUUGUCAAGAGCACGUCAGGGUGAUGAGUCAUCUGGGACAGGUCAUCCUCCCAGCACCGAGAAACCGACGGGGGAGGAACAGACUCCUCUGCAUUGUGAUCCAAUUGUGAACAAAAAGUCCUCUUCGUGGAACAGGAAAAAUACACUCCCUCUAAACAAUGGAUUGAACACGGAUGUGAUUUCUAAAGAAGACUGAGGGCAGGGAUACUGACACUGAAGUCCUGCAUGUGUAAUAACACUGAAGAGGGCAGGGAAUCGCUGCGUCCUGUGACUUGAAGGCCACUGUGAAGGAAAACAAUGCAGUGAAAGAAAGUUCUUCCUAUGUGGACAUUGUAUCACGUUUAUUUAUCUUCCUGGAUAUGCUUAUGGCCUUUAAAACAUAUUAAAAUAGGCCAUGCUAUUAUCUCUUAAAAUAUCUAUUUUCCCUCAGGGAACUGGAGACGCACCCUGCUACUCCUCAUGUCACUCCUGUUCCCUAAACCAGGCUGGGCCUCCCACUCACCCCACAGGCAGGUGAGGUACGACAGCCAGAAACCCCAAAUCUGCAGUUCUCCCAGGAUGAAACGAAACAGUGUGACAGGCUUCUGAUAAGGGAAUCAAUGUCUGUUUAUUAAGGUAGUUGCUCAUGAAAGUGACUUUCAGUAACAUUUUCAGUAUAAAAAUGGAUUUACAUUUCAUUUCUGGAAAACUGUUUUAUACAGUGAUCUGACCAUGGCUAGGAGUCCCGGGGACAGCAGUCUCUGCUCAGGGCAGACUCUGUGAUUCACUCUCUGUCCUGCUGCUACCCCACGUGGGGGAGAACACGUGGGCUGAGAAAAGAAACAGUGUGUGCAAAGCUGACAGAUAUCAAGGGUCCCAACACAGUUCCUUCAGCGAAAAUAAAGCCCGGUUUUAAGAUGUGCAGGGAAGUGUUGACACUCAACAGGCAGCUGACCAGGCCCUGCAGGGCUCUGAGCAGGCAGGGGAGUCCCAAGGAGAGUAAGUGACAGCACGUGGGGCAAGGGAGCUGGACAGGAGACCCCAGAGGGCGCGGCACCUGGGUGAGAGCCCUGGACCCCACACCAAGGCAGAGCGGUGGCCCUGAAGGACUCUGGGCAGGAAAUGACAGGCUCUGAGGGUGUCCAGACACAGAUCUCCACUGCCUGAGGGAGGGCGAUCAGACGGGGGGAGGCCAGGGACUGCCACCUGCCCAGGAGGCGGCAGGGAGGGGAAGAGCAGAUGAGGAGGCAUAGGGUGCGCCCUGGGCAAGGCAGCAGGGGUAACGAAGCUCUCAGUGACUCCUCCCAAUAGCCAGGGGAGAACAGUGACAGUCUCAGGUGGCCCUGAGCAUGUGAGCUGCUCAUCCACAUCAGUCAAAGGCAAAGCCAGGACCUGAACUUACCAUCCCAAGCCCUACAUCCAUGCAAGCCAGACCAGACUGGAUCAGAGGCUAGAAGAGAGCUCAAAGGAUUGCCUGGGGAAGCCUUGACCCAAAACCUGGCCCUCACUCCAGCCCAGAGCACCCACCUGGGCAUGAGACUGGCGGCAGCUGUAGGGCAUAUGCCGGGCUCCCAGGGUGCCACACCUGCCAGCCAGCCCAGGGAGUGGUGAUGGGCUAGGUACUGGCUGUCCCUACACAUAGCAGUGCCCCGCGGCAGUGACUACAACUGCUGCCUGCCCCUCACCCCUGGUUAUGCUCGGCCUCCCCUGUGCAUUUCUGUGUCCAUAAGUGUCCCCUGUGCAUUUCUGUGUCCAUAAGACUACUAUAAACCCUGUAGGCACCUCACAAACAGCGUUCCACGCAGGUGGGUUCAUGUCCCAGGGGCAUGGGGCUCCCUGCUGCACAGACUUGGGAUGUUCCAUGACAGACCCCGCAUACGCAGGCGAGCUCACAACCCAGAGAUAUGAGGCUCCAUGACAGACCCCGCAUACGCAGGCGAGCUCACGACCAAGGGUCAUGGAGGCUCCAUGACACCCCUCAUAUGCAGGCAAGCUCACGACCCAGGGGCAUGGGGCUCCCUGCUGCACGGCCUCAGGAUGCUCCAUGAGCACCCCCCAACACUGGGCUGUUCAUGGAUGCACACUACAUGCCAUUGUCACAGGGUUGCCCUUGUGUCCCUCAGCCCGGCAGACAGAAGGUGCAGGAGCAGCCUGCCCAGGGCCGACCCCAGCCCAGAGCCCACUCAACACUCAGGAAUCACACAGGCGCAGCUGCUCCUCUCCCAAGAACUCAGCUAUUGGUCAGAAAAAACCUCCUAGCCUCACUACCUUGAGGAGGCCGUGCCCAGAGGUGGCAGAAGGCGCUGUGCCUCCUCAGGGGUCACGGCUCCUGUGCCCGCUUUCUCACCCAAGCCCAACAA